RNAcentral lists this long non-coding RNA (810 nucleotides) under Malus domestica (apple). RNAcentral's name for it is "long non-coding RNA (MDOM_LNC000589)". Lineage: Eukaryota; Viridiplantae; Streptophyta; Magnoliopsida; Rosales; Rosaceae. The record is from RNAcentral.
GCUUUGUCAAUGCUUAUGAUUUUCAUUAAACGUAAUGAUCUUUGAUUGUAUCUCUAUUAUGAUGUCAUGUAGAGAACUUUUGAAGAAUGUUUUGGGUUGUCGAAUGAUGUCAUCCAAUCCAAUAAUACAAGGAAAAUCUAAAGGUUAACUAGUGAUGUCAUGGUUAAUUUGGGGCGUUGUCGUUUAUAAUUCAAUGAAGUAGUAACUGGAAAUCGAGUUGUUUGCAUAUAUGUCAUGUGUGGAGAAAAAGCCUCUAGCUAUCUCAUCCAUCAUCUUAUUUCUCAAAUUUGUUUUACAAUCUGUCUAGUUUUUCAUACUUGUUUGAUUGUUUCAACUUCAUCCAAAUCAAAACCCCCCCUUUUAGUUUCUUGUUUCAAAGUGUUUCAAAUCUGUUUUAGUUUGUGUUUUUAAGUGUUUUGAUUCAAGUAAAAGUCAAUUUUCGUCCAAAGUCAUUCCUAGUGUAUAGUUUAAGUUUAUUUGGUUGUUUUAAGCUGUUUUGAGUAUUUUAAGUUUACUUUGAGUCUUGUGAGUCUUGUUAAGUGUUUUUUAAGUUUAGUUUUAUGUUUUUGAGUCAGUUUAGAGGUUAUUAGCAAGCCCUCCUAAUCCCCGGUCCAGAACGAUCCCUACUUGUACUUAUACUACAAUUGUCAAAAGAUGGUUAAAUUUGUGUGUUAAGUUAACUUUCGCAUCAAGUUUUUGGCGCCGUUGCCGGGGAUUAGCAACUUUGCUAAUCCCUUGUUAUUUCUUUUUGUUUAUUUUCAUGUGUUUUUGUUCCUAAUUGAUGACUUUACUUGUUUUCUUGUUUUAGGU